Molecule: long non-coding RNA, 261 nt
Filed under: Phoenix dactylifera (date palm)
Lineage: Eukaryota; Viridiplantae; Streptophyta; Magnoliopsida; Arecales; Arecaceae
Description: long non-coding RNA (PDAC_LNC010351)
Source: RNAcentral
GAGAGGAGAAGUGGAGGUUGGUGAGAGGUUGAAGUGAGACUUCUUAUCUUAUUCAAUUUCGAGUUAGCGUCGAAAACAGCUUAUUCGAGAACAGCAAAAGCUGUGCCGUAGGAAAAGAGAAGUAGAACCGAUGCUGGCUCCAUACGGAUACAUCAAAUGUGUGGAAAACAAUCUCUUCGCGAGCAGGAGAGAGUCAAAAGGCAGAAGAGGAAUCGGUUGUGCUAGAAUUAGAUCUAACCGUAUCCGGUGUUUCGAAAGAGA